This 433-nucleotide ribosomal RNA is filed under the name uncultured bacterium. RNAcentral's name for it is "bacterial SSU rRNA". It matches the Rfam family "Bacterial small subunit ribosomal RNA", at positions 957 to 1391 of the family's 1533-position model. The record is from RNAcentral.
GAACGCGAAGAACCUUACCAAGUCUUGACAUGCCGUUGACGUACCGGUAAUGCGGUAUUUCCUUCGGGACAACGGACACAGGUGGUGCAUGGUUGUCGUCAGCUCGUGUCGUGAGAUGUUGGGUUAAGUCCCGCAACGAGCGCAACCCUUGUCCUUAGUAGCCAGCAGUAAGAUGGGGACUCUAAGGAGACAGACGGAGAUAAUCCGGAGGAAGAUGGGGAUGACGUCAAAUCAUCAUGCCCCUUAUGAUUUGGGCUACACACGUGCUACAAUGGCGUAAACAAAGAGAGGCAAGAGGGCGACCUUAAGCAAAUCUCAAAAAUAACGUCUCAGUUCGGAUUGCAGGCUGCAACUCGCCUGCAUGAAGCCGGAAUCGCUAGUAAUCGCAGAUCAGCAUGCUGCGGUGAAUACGUUCCCGGGUCUUGUACACACC